UCCUGAUUUAAAUUUUAAUUACUCUAAAAAUUAUUUUUUUAUUUUUAAUUUUUAUUUAUAUAUAUAAAGAGAGAGAGAAGAGGGAGUGGAGGAACAACUAAGGGCAAAAUAGAAAUUUCACACCGAUAAAAAUCACUCUUUCCCAUACUCUAGAACCAUUUUUCUUUAGCCAGCACCUCAACAUAUCCAACACUACUCUUAAACAAAAACUCAAAAAAUCUCUCUGUUUCUUCUACUGCUUCCCCCCUCCCCCAACCCCCCACCACCGCUACCACCAUCCUCCUCCGCUUUCUCCACCGCAACCAUUGCCAUUGUCCUCCUCCAUCGAUGAAAACUCCGACAAGUGGCUUAGCAUCUUCUGUUUUCUUAACGGUAGUGGUAACGGGAAUAGACACAAAUGACAUUCUUCAGCAGAGUUCCGUUAUAAUUUGUUGUGUUAUUCGUUGAAUUUUGAAGAUGAGGCAAACUUCACCAGCUUCUCUUCUAGACUUCCUCUGUUGCCAGUGAUGGUGAUGGAGCUAGCGACGGUGAAGGUGAAGCAUUUGGGCUUGUUGGUGGUGCUGGUGAUAUUAAACUUACUAAGAAUGGAAAUACCUUCCUGAAAGAGAUGUGAGUUCUUAUUGUUAUACUCUUUAUGAGUUUUUUUAGAUAUUUAUUUGUUUUUUCGAGUUUCAUACCUAAACUUGUCAAGUAUCUCAGUUUCCUCACCAACUAUUAAUCAAAAUACACCUUAAUUAUCAAUUGUUCAUUUUUUCUACAUGAACGAUGUUGAAGUUUAUGGUGAUAUUUCUAUAGGAAAUGUGACUAAUUGAUAGUUGAUGCUUGUUUUGAUAAAUAGCUGGUGAUAGUUUAGACAAGAAAUUCAAAAUUCACACACUUGAUAGUUAAAGCACGAAACUCAAGAAUCGGGAUGCUUGCGGUGUGUUUUUGAUCAUUCUCUCACAUUUUGUUGUAUAGUUUACACAUUUGCAGUCGAUGUUGCACUUCAAAUGUCCUGAGUAUUACGUGAUGUUAGUGUGGAUGGUACUGAGAUGUAGAGUUAAGUUUUUUUAUGGAAGUCAAUCCAGCAACAAGAUGAAUAUUACUCUCUCUGUAGCAAAAAUUGCGGCACUGUUAUUUGUUCUAGAAGACUACAAUAGUUUGUCCAAACAUUUUUUCAAAUAUAUAUAACCGUAGAGGCUAAGACCUAUAUAAAAUCUCUGCUGCUAUAAAGAUUGUGAUUGGUAGUUCUUUUUGAAGGACUCUCUGAGUAUGUUAAAUUUUAAUCCCAAAAAAGUUAAGAAAUUAGUGUCCGAAUCCGUAGGGACAGGGUUUGCACAUUAGUAUGAUAUUCAAUUUAUGAUAAAUGAUGAAGGAUAAACCAGAUAAUAAUGUCACUUGGCCCCCAUGCCGAAGUAUUGGGCAUUUUUUGGGGAUUAGCCUGUUCACACCGGAGAUUAAAAAUGCUAAUACAUAUCAUCUUUUGAUUUGUUGGGACUUGGGAGCAUUUUGCAUGUUUUUUAGGAUGGUCCUGUUUGCAUAUCAUCAGCUGUUAUAGCUAUAAUCAAAGUUGAAACUGGGCCAUGUAUCUUGAUUACUACAAAUAAACAUAGAUGCAGAUGACUGUUACUAGAGUUGAAUUAUGGGUCUUCCGGUCACAACCUUAUUAUAUAGAAUAAAUGAGCGAGGUUUAUGAUUGUUAAAUAGGAGCAGUAAAUUUAAUCUUUCUAUUGAAUAAUACUUCGAAUUGGAAAAAAGAGUUUAAAGGUAACAGUGCACUUGAAAAAGGAUAUCUGGUUCCUUCUUUUUCUUUCCUGUUACGAGAUUAUUUGGUAGGAGUCUUCCAACAGACUUUGUACCCUCUCAUCGAGAUUACAAGGCUUUGUAUCCUAAAGAAAGAGCAUUAUCAAAAAGGUGAGUUCUUCAUCAGUUCAUUUUUUCAAAUGGUCCCUUAACAGUAGGGCUAGGCUAUGUUGAACUAUUUUUCUUUUAUUUACCAAGCAACAUUAUUGAUUGCUACAUGUGAUCUCUAUUUGAUUUGUUAUUUUAAUUAAUGUGUCCACAUAUACCUAUAGAUUCGCCCCUGAUGCCUCACUAAAAAGUUAGUUGAUUCGGCUAUAUGAAUCCUAAUAUCUGUUGUAUUCCAUAACUUUAUAUUGACAAAUGGUUUUGUUUGGAGUGAGUUUUGUGAUUGUCUUAUGCUUUACUUACAUGCUAAUAUUCACCGUUGGGAGAAGAACAUCAUAGACUUGAAUAUAAUAAUUCUGAGAUAUUCAAGGUGAAUCAAGAAUAAUUUUUUUGCUGUUACAAAAUAAUAUGUUUAUGGUGGAUGCUCAUAACUCUUAGAAUUAAGUAACUCCCACCCAUCUUCUCCAUGAUAUAUAGUUAAUCCUCCAUUACUCUACACACCAUUAUGGGUGUAACUCUCAUACCCUUUAAUCUCUCCCAUAAUAUUCUUGUUUAAUACCAUUAUGGGUGUGACUCUCACACCCUUUAACCCUCCUACCCCAUAAUGUUCUUGUUUAAUAGCAUUAUUAUGACAAUCUUUUGCAUGCCUCUAUAUGAUAUUAUAAAUAGAGGCAUAAGGGUUCAUAUUGUAGACACUUGAACAAUUGAAAUAC
Molecule: long non-coding RNA, 2600 nt
Organism: Capsicum annuum
Lineage: Eukaryota; Viridiplantae; Streptophyta; Magnoliopsida; Solanales; Solanaceae
Exons: 2
Source: RefSeq, a predicted model, not a curated record